RNAcentral lists this transfer RNA (74 nucleotides) under Candidatus Ancaeobacter aquaticus. RNAcentral's name for it is "tRNA-Arg". It matches the Rfam family "tRNA". From Rfam's summary of the family: Transfer RNA (tRNA) molecules are approximately 80 nucleotides in length. Their secondary structure includes four short double-helical elements and three loops (D, anti-codon, and T loops). The record is from RNAcentral. Lineage: Bacteria; Pseudomonadati; Candidatus Auribacterota; Candidatus Ancaeobacteria; Candidatus Ancaeobacterales; Candidatus Ancaeobacteraceae.
GCGCCCAUAGCUCAGUGGAUUAGAGCAUCUGCCUACGAAGCAGAGGGUCGGAGGUUCAAGUCCUCUUGGGCGCA